Molecule: small RNA, 807 nt
Filed under: Pan troglodytes (chimpanzee)
Lineage: Eukaryota; Metazoa; Chordata; Mammalia; Primates; Hominidae
Description: retained intron
Source: RNAcentral
CAACAUCCAGCCAGCCUCGUCCAAAUGGAGACAUAACCAGACGCUCUCUCUGAGGAUCAGGAAGCAAAUUUUAAAGUUCUUGGAUGCUGAAAAGGACAUUUCUGUCCUAAAGGGAACCCUGAAGCCUGGAGAUAUUAUUCAUUACAUCUUCGAUCGAGACAGCACCAUGAAUGUGUCCCAGAACCUCUACGAGCUCCUCCCCAGGACUUCGCCACUGAAGAAUAAGCACUUUGGGACUUGUGCCAUCGUGGGCAACUCAGGGGUCUUGCUGAACAGCGGCUGUGGGCAGGAGAUUGACGCCCACAGCUUCGUCAUCAGGUGCAACCUGGCCCCAGUACAGGAGUAUGCCCGGGAUGUGGGGCUCAAGACAGACCUGGUAACCAUGAACCCCUCGGUCAUCCAGCGGGCCUUUGAGGACUUGGUCAAUGCCACAUGGCGGGAGAAGCUGCUGCAACGGCUGCACAGCCUCAAUGGCAGCAUCCUGUGGAUCCCUGCCUUCAUGGCCCGGGGCGGCAAGGAGCGUGUUGAGUGGGUCAACGAGCUUAUCCUGAAGCACCACGUCAACGUGCGCACUGCAUACCCCUCGCUGCGCCUGCUGCACGCUGUUCGUGGGUGAGCGGCCUCCCUACAGACCAGUAGGACCGUCACUAAGUGUGGGAGAUUCUUGGUAGGCAGUAUCCCUUUCCCAGGUGCAUUUCCAUCCCAGCUCCACCACUCAUUUGCUGGAUGGCCUCAGCAAGUCACCUGGCCUUUCUGAGCCUCCAUUCCUUGAGAGAUGAGGGGGUUUGGCAAGUGGGUUUCAUCUGG